Tachysurus vachellii is the source of this 1123-nucleotide long non-coding RNA. RefSeq lists it as uncharacterized. The record is from RefSeq and is a predicted model, not a curated record. The transcript is spliced from 2 exons. NCBI's taxonomy places the organism in Eukaryota, Metazoa, Chordata, Actinopteri, Siluriformes, Bagridae.
CAGUGCAUCAUGACAUGAGGUACAUCUCAGUGCAUCAUGACAUGAGGUACAUCUCAGUGCAUCAUGACAUGAGGUACAUCUCAGUGCAUCAUGACAUGAGGUACAUCUCAGUGCAUCAUGACAUGAGGUACAUCUCAGUGCAUCAUGACAUGAGGUCCUGCAGGUGACUACAACAUUGUGUUUACAGCAUUUGGCAGACAGAUUUAACUAGAGUGACUUACAGUUUAUACAGCUGAGCAAUUGAAGGUUAGGGGACCAGCGGUAGCAGCUCGGUGGACCUGGUAUUCGAGCUCACGACCAUCCGAUCUGUAGUCCGACACCUUAACCACUAGGCUACAACAUCCCCUUAUUUUAUAUGAUGGAUGUAAACAAUUUUACGUUCAGUAAGUCUAUCAUUUUAGCUUUUUAUUUAUUAUUUAUUACAGAAUCCUUAAGCAGAAUCCAGUGGAGAUGAUGUACUCUAAACAUGAUGAAAUGGAUUUACACAGAGGAACUGAUGAAAGAGAUCAGACUUUGAGAACCUCAGCUGAUCCGAGGUCAGUUGGGCAGCGUUUCCAAUCCGAGCGAGGCUGCGUGCUGUUUGGCCCUGAAGCGCAGGUUCUCGAUGCUGCUCGUCUUGCUGUUUAGACUGCUCCACACCUGCUGAGACAGAGACUGGUAAUACGACUGACACUGCAGAGGGCCGAGCGGAGACGCCAUGUUCAUGCUCAUGUUCAUGUUCAUGUUCAUGCCCAGGUAAGCUAAAGAAGACGAGGUGGAGGAGGAGGAGGAGGAUGGGGCGGCCAUGUCGAAGGGAGAGUAGUGCAUCAGGUUGUUGGUGGUGGCCAUGUGCUGCCGAAACUGCUCCUGUAGACGGUAGAGGCUGAGAGGAGACGAAGCGUAGGAGUUGGUUUGGACUAAACCGCUGCCGAGAGCGCUGGAGGAUUGGAGAGACGGCGAGGCGAGAGGAGAAUCUGGAAGGGAUGUGCAGGAGAAGCUACAGCGUUAGCACUCCAUUGUGUGUUAAUAUUAAAAUACUCAGUGAUGCAGUGAUAAAGGAGAGAAGUUGAUUAUUUUCACCGAGCACAUCCCAGAAUAUUCCUUUUUUAGCCACUGAUUAAAUUUGUUUCUUUAUUAAAACCGA